GCGGCAACAGCUCAAAUUUGAAAUCUGGCCCUCGGGUCCGAGUUGUAAUUUGUAGAGGAUGCUUUUGGUGCGGUGCCUUCCGAGUUCCCUGGAACGGGACGCCAUAGAGGGUGAGAGCCCCGUCUGGUUGGACACCAAGCCUCUGUAAAGCUCCUUCGACGAGUCGAGUAGUUUGGGAAUGCUGCUCUAAAUGGGAGGUAUAUGUCUUCUAAAGCUAAAUACCGGCCAGAGACCGAUAGCGCACAAGUAGAGUGAUCGAAAGAUGAAAAGCACUUUGAAAAGAGGGUUAAAUAGUACGUGAAAUUGUUGAAAGGGAAGCGCUUAUGACCAGACUUGAGCCCGGUUAAUCAUCCAGCCUUCUGGCUGGUGCACUUGGCCGGCUCAGGCCAGCAUCAGUUCGGCGCGGGGGAUAAAGGUUUCGGGAAUGUGGCUCCUCCGGGAGUGUUAUAGCCCGUUGCGUAAUACCCUGCGCUGGACUGAGGUUCGCGCAUCUGCAAGGAUGCUGGCGUAAUGGUCAUCAGCGACCCGUCUUGAAACACGGACCAAGGAGUCGUCUUCGUAUGCGAGUGUUCGGGUGUCAAACCCCUACGCGUAAUGAAAGUGAACGCAGGUGAGAGCUUCGGCGCAUCAUCGACCGAUCCUGAUGUUCUCGGAUGGAUUUGAGUAAGAGCAUACGGGGCCGGACCCGAAAGAAGGUGAACUAUGCCUGUAUAGGGUGAAGCCAGAGGAAACUCUGGUGGAGGCUCGCAGCGGUUCUGACGUGCAAAUCGAUCGUCAAAUAUGGG
Molecule: ribosomal RNA, 785 nt
Filed under: Cosmospora khandalensis
Lineage: Eukaryota; Fungi; Ascomycota; Sordariomycetes; Hypocreales; Nectriaceae
Description: eukaryotic LSU rRNA
Rfam family: Eukaryotic large subunit ribosomal RNA
Source: RNAcentral